AGAGCGAACGCUGGCGGCAGGCUUAACACAUGCAAGUCGAGCGGGCGUAGCAAUACGUCAGCGGCAGACGGGUGAGUAACGCGUGGGAACGUACCUUUGGUUCGGAACAACACAGGGAAACUUGUGCUAAUACCGGAUAAGCCCUUACGGGGAAAGAUUUAUCGCCAAAAGAUCGGCCCGCGUCUGAUUAGCUAGUUGGUGAGGUAACGGCUCACCAAGGCGACGAUCAGUAGCUGGUCUGAGAGGAUGAUCAGCCACAUUGGGGCUGAGACACGGCCCAAACUCCUACGGGAGGCAGCAGUGGGGAAUAUUGGACAAUGGGCGCAAGCCUGAUCCAGCCAUGCCGCGUGAGUGAUGAAGGCCCUAGGGUUGUAAAGCUCUUUUGUGCGGGAAGAUAAUGACGGUACCGCAAGAAUAAGCCCCGGCUAACUUCGUGCCAGCAGCCGC
This 447-nucleotide ribosomal RNA is filed under the name uncultured bacterium. Its description in RNAcentral is "SSU rRNA". It matches the Rfam family "Bacterial small subunit ribosomal RNA", at positions 26 to 518 of the family's 1533-position model. The record is from RNAcentral.